AUGAAGAGACUUACUAUGGGCAUUUGGUCAAUUGUGAUGCUUGGAUGAACAUCCAUCUCCGUUUAGCUUUAAUUUUCCUUAAACUUAAUAUCCUUGAUCUGUUUUAGAUUUCAAAAUUUGCCAUCCCUUUCCAUGCGUUCAUUUUAUGUUCUUGACCCCGGCUUUUCUUGCAGGUUGCUUGAUUUUUAUUUUUGGCUUUAAAAAAAUGGUACAGCUUCCUCUUUCUUUACCCAAGGACUACUCAAGGCCACCCAAUGCUUGUAAUUCAUGGUGGUUGUACGCUGUAAUAGUUGGUGGAAUUGAAAAACGGAGAGACUUACAAUGGGCAUUUGGUCAAUUGUGAUGCUUGGAUGAACAUCCAUCUCCGUUUAGCUUUAAUUUUCUUUAACGCUAAUAUCCUUAAUCUGUUUUAGAAUCCAAAAUUUCCCAUCCCUUUCCAUGCGUUCAUUUUAUGUUCUUGACCUUGGCUUUUCUUGCAGGUUGCUUGAUUUUUCUUUUUUGCUCUAAAAAACAUGGUAACCAUCUCAACUGUCUUUGAUUUGAAAACUUUUUAUCUUUCUCCUGUUUUCUUUGACACUCUUAAUUUUUUUUUCUUCUUUUAAAUACUGCUUCCUAUUUCUUUGAUUUGAAAACGUUCUUUCUCCAGUUUUCUUUGACACACUUAAUUUUUUUUUUCUUGUGUUAACUGCACCUUCCUCUUUCUUUAUUCAAGACUGCUCAAGGCCACCCAAUGGUAAGAAAGAGAUGUCUGUUUUUCUUGUCGUGUCAUUUGACCAGAUGAAUCCAGAAUUUUCUGCAAAUUUGUAUACUUUGUUUUACGCUCUUUUCCAUUUUUUUUAUGCAGCUUGUAAUUCAUGGUGGUUGUUUGUUGUAACCGUUGGUGGAAUUGAGAAACAGAUAGACUUCCGAUGGGCAUUUGGUGAAUUGUGAUGCUUGGAUGAACAUCCAUCUCUGUUUAGCUUUAAUUUUCUUUAACCCUAAUAUCCUCGAUCUGUUUUAGAUUCCAAAAUUUCCCAUCCCUUUUCAUGCUUUCAUUUUAUGUUCUUGACCCUGGCUUUUCUUGCAAGUUGCUUGAUUUUUAUUUUUGGCUCUAAAAAACAUGGUAACCAUCUCAACUGCAGCUUUCUCUUUCUUUACUCAAGACUGCUCAAGGCCACCCAAUGGUAAGAAAGAGAUGUCUGUUUUUCUUGUCGUCUCAUUUGACCAUACGAAUCCAGAAUUUUCUGCAAAUUUGUAGACUUUGUUUUACAGCCUUUUCCAUUUUUUUUAUGCAGCUUGUAAUUCAUGGUGGUUCUAUGAUGUAAUAGUUGGUGGAAUUGAAAAACGGAGAAACUUACAAUGUGCAUUUGGUCAAUUGUGAUGCUUGGUUGAACAUCCAUCUCUGUUUAGCUUUAAUUUUCCUUAACCCUAAUAUCCUUGAUCUGUUUUAGAUUCCAAAAUUUGCCAUCCCUUUCCAUGCUUUCAUUUUAUGUUCUUGACCCUGGCUUUUCUUGCAGGUUGCUUGAUUUUUCUUUUUAGCUCUAAAAAAUAGGCCUCCUAUUUCUUUCUCAUGACUGCUCAAGGCCACCCAAAGCUUGUAAUUCAUGGUGGUUCUAUGAUGUAAUAGUUGGUGGAAUUGAAAAACGGAGAAACUUACAUUGGGU
Molecule: long non-coding RNA, 1643 nt
Organism: Populus nigra (black poplar)
Lineage: Eukaryota; Viridiplantae; Streptophyta; Magnoliopsida; Malpighiales; Salicaceae
Exons: 5
Source: RefSeq, a predicted model, not a curated record